This 497-nucleotide ribosomal RNA is filed under the name uncultured bacterium. RNAcentral's name for it is "partial 16S ribosomal RNA". It matches the Rfam family "Bacterial small subunit ribosomal RNA", at positions 28 to 507 of the family's 1533-position model. The record is from RNAcentral.
GAUGAACGCUGGCGGCGUGCCUAAUACAUGCAAGUCGAGCGAACAGACGAGGAGCUUGCUCCUCUGACGUUAGCGGCGGACGGGUGAGUAACACGUGGAUAACCUCCCUAUAAGACUGGGAUAACUUCGGGAAACCGGAGCUAAUACCGGAUAAUCUAUUGAACCGCAUGGUUCAAUAGUGAAAGACGGUUUUGCUGUCACUUAUCGAUGGAUCCGCGCCGCAUUAGCUAGUUGGUAAGGUACCGGCUUACCAAGGCGACGAUGCGUAGCCGACCUGAGAGGGUGAUCGGCCACACGGGAACUGAGACACGGUCCAGACUCCUACGGGAGGCAGCAGUAGGGAAUCUUCCGCAAUGGGCGAAAGCCUGACGGAGCAACGCCGCGUGAGUGAUGAAGGUCUUCGGAUCGUAAAACUCUGUUAUUAGGGAAGAACAAAUGUGUAAGUAACUAUGCACGUCUUGACGGUACCUAAUCAGAAAGCCACGGCUAACUACGUG